UUUAUUGAGAGUUUGAUCCUGGCUCAGGAUGAACGCUAGCGGCGUGGAUAAGGCAUGCAAGUCAAACGGUUUCGUUAUCUAUAUAGCAAUAUAUAAAAAACGAAAUAGUGGCGAACGGGUUAGUAACACGUAGAUACUUCCCCUAAACACGGGCAUAAUUCCGCGAAAGCGGAACUAAUUCCCGAUGGCCCCCGAGAGCAAUCUUUGGGUAAAGGAGCAAUCCGGUUUAGGAAAGGUCUGCGGCUUAUCAGCUAGUUGGUAGGGUAAUGGCCUACCAAGGCUAUGACGAGUAGGCGGUGUGAGAGCAUGACCGCCAACAGGGGUACUGAGAUACGGACCCCACUCCUACGGGAGGCAGCAGUCGAGAAUAUUCGACAAUGGGCGAAAGCCUGAUCGAGCGACGCC
RNAcentral lists this ribosomal RNA (405 nucleotides) under bacterium. Its description in RNAcentral is "bacterial SSU rRNA". It matches the Rfam family "Bacterial small subunit ribosomal RNA", at positions 1 to 398 of the family's 1533-position model. The record is from RNAcentral.